RNAcentral lists this ribosomal RNA (400 nucleotides) under phytoplankton environmental sample. Its description in RNAcentral is "partial small subunit ribosomal RNA". It matches the Rfam family "Eukaryotic small subunit ribosomal RNA", at positions 587 to 992 of the family's 1831-position model. The record is from RNAcentral.
AGCUCCAAUAGCGUAUAUUAAAGUUGUUGCAGUUAAAAAGCUCGUAGUUGGAUCUCGGGUCCAGGCUUGCGGUUCUGCUCGUGCAGAUACUGCUCGUCCUGACCUACCUGCCGGUGUUCCCCUGGUGCCCUUAGCUGGGUGUCUCGGGUGGCCGGAACGUUUACUUUGAAAAAAUUAGAGUGUUCAAAGCAGGCAUUCUGCCUGAAUAAUGGUGCAUGGAAUAAUAGAAAAGGACCUCGGUUCUAUUUUGUUGGUUUUCGGAACUUGAGGUAAUGAUUAAGAGGGACAGACGGGGGCAUUCGUAUUACGGUGUUAGAGGUGAAAUUCUUGGAUCGCCGUAAGACGAACUACUGCGAAAGCAUUUGCCAAGAAUGUUUUCAUUAAUCAAGAACGAAAGUAG